RNAcentral lists this unclassified non-coding RNA (221 nucleotides) under soil metagenome. RNAcentral's name for it is "partial contains small subunit ribosomal RNA, internal transcribed spacer 1, and 5.8S ribosomal RNA". The record is from RNAcentral.
UUUCCGUAGGUGAACCUGCGGAAGGAUCAUUAUUGAAAUAGAAGACCCACUUGUUGGGCUUCAACCUUUCAAAUUCAAACACACUGUGCACUGUCGAGGUGAACGCCACUGCCCCAUGUGGACAGGGGUUACUAGCCUUACCCUUUCUUCAAAACACAAAGUCAAUGAAUGUAUAACUACACAUAAUAACAAAACUUUCAACAACGGAUCUCUUGGCUCCC